UACGGAGGGUGCAAGCGUUAUCCGGAUUCACUGGGUUUAAAGGGUGCGUAGGAGGGCAGGUAAGUCAGUGGUGAAAUCUUUGGGCUUAACCCGAAAACUGCCAUUGAUACUAUCUGUCUUGAAUCCCGUGGAGGUGAGCGGAAUAUGUCAUGUAGCGGUGAAAUGCUUAGAUAAUGACAUAGAACACCAAUUGCGAAGGCAGCUCGCUACACGAAGAUUGACUCUGAGGCACGAAAGCGUGGGGAGUCAAACAGGA
Molecule: ribosomal RNA, 256 nt
Filed under: uncultured bacterium
Lineage: Bacteria
Description: partial 16S ribosomal RNA
Rfam family: Bacterial small subunit ribosomal RNA
Source: RNAcentral